UCUUCCAUAAUCUACACUGAAAUCUUCUAUUUCUGGUUUCAGUUUGUGAAACCGAAAGCCCUAAUCUGGUGUUCGUAUUUGUAAACCUAAAUCCUCAACCCCGACUUCGAAAAUUUAGUGAAAAGCCCAAUGGAGAGCUUCGUCGUGGUGACCUGAAGCAUAGACGAUUCAAAGGAGAUUUACGGAGGCUUCAUUCAUCUUGUACUAAGAAAGGUAUUGGAUUUUUUUUUCUUUCAUUUAUUGUAGGAUAAUGUUCAGUAGGUUUAAGGUAUUUUCCAUCAUACUUUAAAGGUAUUGAUAUUGAUAAUCUAUUGUGAUCUCAAAGUGUUUUUCUUCAUAUGCGACCUUGAAGCAAAGAAGCUGGUGUUCUGUUUUGUAUCGUGCAGUACCAAAAUUUGAGAUGUAAGUCUUCUUUUCCAAUAACUUAAAUUUUUGUCUUUGGAAUGCAUUAUAUAUUGUCUUACUUUUUGUAACAUAUUCCUGGAUAAUGCAACCUACCUUAACCAACCUCUCUCUCUCUAUAUAUAUAUAUAUAUAUUUUUUUUUAUGUAAAUUUAUACUUAGUUAAUUUUAUAAGUUUUUUAAAAAAUGUUUCUGAAAUUAUUUAUGACUAUGAAUCUCUAUAUAUAUAUAUAUAUUUAUGUACGUGUGUCUUUCAUUUGAUAAGGGUAAAUACUCUUUUGCUUAGUUGGUCCAACUGAUCCGACCUCCAUAUGCUUUUGUUCAAAUAUCAUUGCAUUUUCUUGCUUAAAACCACCUAAACUAAACUUAACCAUUUCAUUUACCGUAUAAAAAGAAUUAAUAUAAAUUUUUAAUGUUAAUCUAUCUGUGUGCAGUUGAGAAAACAAGAUAUUGAAGCUAGACUUUUGGUGAAGAUCAAAGUUGGAUCCAGAAAAGCAUGUGAGUAUGUUAGAAAGCCGAUUGCGUAUCACAAUUGUUUAUUUAAAAUAUAUAUUUUUUCAAAUUAUAGUUAUAUUAUGUAAAUUACAUUGAAAAGAGAAAUGUAUAUGUAAAUUCUAAAAUGUAAAAUUCUCUAAACCAACAAAACAGAAUGUAGCAAUCAAGUAUCAUCACAAUUCAGAACCAUUUUAAUAAAACCACAAAGGUGGUAUUUUAAAAAAAUUCAAAUAUAUUUCUUCUUUCAAUUUUAGAUGUCCUCUAGAAUUGAUUCACACAUAAUUAAGAGGAAAUAAGAAAAUUGUCCGAAUUAAUUUACUAUACAUUAGAAUUUGACAACUGAUUGAUAAGGAGAUUUUCCUUUUCUCUAUUUUGUGUUAUGCAGUUAGGUACCUAUUCUCUUAGGUUGUUGAUUGUUGGGAUCUUCUUCCCUUCCUUCCUUCUGAUAUAGGAAGUGUCGUUCAACAACAAUUUUAACAAGUACUGUCACACCAAGAACCACCAAGGCAAAAGGAACCACCCAGGCAACAAGAAAAUGACGAUAUUGAUUAUGCAAGCUAUUAGGAUUAUGUUUGUAGUUUUUUAAAUUGCGGAUUAUAUAAUUAGGUCACUUGACUUUUGAAUUAGGGAUCUUUAAUUAUGUUUGAAGUUUAUUUGGAUUUUUAUAGAUAUUUCAAGUGGACUUGAGUUUAUCUUUCAUAAAUGUGUUUUCUUUUUCUUUUUAUGUUAGGUGUAUUGGAUGAUUGUUCGGUAAAAAAUUGUUCAUUAGUAUAUCUUGGAUAUGAUUUGGAUAUAUUAAAUUUAUACAAGUGUUAAAAAA
This 1717-nucleotide long non-coding RNA is filed under the name Phaseolus vulgaris (common bean). RNAcentral's name for it is "long non-coding RNA (PVUL_LNC001501)". Lineage: Eukaryota; Viridiplantae; Streptophyta; Magnoliopsida; Fabales; Fabaceae. The record is from RNAcentral.